RNAcentral lists this ribosomal RNA (371 nucleotides) under uncultured fungus. RNAcentral's name for it is "eukaryotic LSU rRNA". The stretch from base 1 to 71 matches the Rfam family "5.8S ribosomal RNA", at positions 84 to 154 of the family's 154-position model. The record is from RNAcentral. Lineage: Eukaryota; Fungi.
GUGAGUCAUCGAAUCUUUGAACGCACCUUGCGCUCUCUGGUAUUCCGGAGAGCAUGCCUGUUUGAGUGUCAUGAACUCUUCAACCCACCGGUUCCUUGUUGGAUCGAGUUGGUGUUUGGAUCUUGAGCGUUGCUGGCUUUACUAGUGUUCUUCGAAUACUGAAUAAGCGUAGCUCGUUCGUAAUACAUUAGCAUCUCAAUUACGAAACUCGGAUUGACUCAGCGUUAUAGACUAUUCGCUGAGGACAUGAGCAAUCAUGGCCGAAUUAAGUUAACUAGAAGCUUCUAAUCCCCCACUAGUCAAAACUAUAAGAUUAGACCUCAGAUCAGGCAGGAUUACCCGCUGAACUUAAGCAUAUCAAUAAGCGGAGG